This 258-nucleotide long non-coding RNA is filed under the name Homo sapiens (human). Its description in RNAcentral is "non-protein coding lnc-PLA2G10-2:1". Lineage: Eukaryota; Metazoa; Chordata; Mammalia; Primates; Hominidae. The record is from RNAcentral.
CCUCCAGGAUAUUACGUGUGCACCGGCGUGGGAUCCUGGAACUGGCAGGAAUUGUGGGUUGUGUUGGUCCCUGAACUCCCAUCGCCUAUGUGAAAUAUGGUUGCUUUUGUGGCUUGGGAGGCCAUGGCCAGCCCCGCGAUGCCAUUGACUGGUGCUGCCAUGGCCACGACUGUUGUUACACUCGAGCUGAGGAGGCCGGCUGCAGCCCCAAGACAGAGCGCUACUCCUGGCAGUGCGUCAAUCAGAGCGUCCUGUGCG